CCUACGGGAGGCAGCAGUGGGGAAUAUUGGACAAUGGGCGAAAGCCUGAUCCAGCCAUGCCGCGUGUGUGAAGAAGGCCUUCGGGUUGUAAAGCACUUUCAGUGGGGAAGAAAGCCUUGGGGCUAAUACCCUCGAGGAAGGACAUCACCCACAGAAGAAGCACCGGCUAACUCCGUGCCAGCAGCCGCGGUAAUACGGAGGGUGCGAGGUUAAUCGGAAUUACUGGGCGUAAAGCGCGCGUAGGCGGUCUGAUAAGCCGGUUGUGAAAGCCCCGGGCUCAACCUGGGAACGGCAUCCGGAACUGUCAGGCUAGAGUGCAGGAGAGGAAGGUAGAAUUCCCGGUGUAGCGGUGAAAUGCGUAGAGAUCGGGAGGAAUACCAGUGGCGAAGGCGGCCUUCUGGACUGACACUGACGCUGAGGUGCGAAAGCGUGGGUAGCAAACAGGAUUAGAUACCCUGGUAGUC
Molecule: ribosomal RNA, 464 nt
Filed under: Vreelandella stevensii
Lineage: Bacteria; Pseudomonadati; Pseudomonadota; Gammaproteobacteria; Oceanospirillales; Halomonadaceae
Description: partial 16S ribosomal RNA
Rfam family: Bacterial small subunit ribosomal RNA
Source: RNAcentral